Molecule: ribosomal RNA, 454 nt
Filed under: uncultured bacterium
Lineage: Bacteria
Description: bacterial SSU rRNA
Rfam family: Bacterial small subunit ribosomal RNA
Source: RNAcentral
AGGAUGAACGCUGGCGGCGUGCCUAACACAUGCAAGUCGAGCGAUUCUCUUCGGAGAAGAGCGGCGGACGGGUGAGUAACGCGUGGGUAACCUGCCCUGUACACACGGAUAACAUACCGAAAGGUAUGCUAAUACGAGAUAAUAUGCUUUUAUCGCAUGGUAGAAGUAUCAAAGCUUUUGCGGUACAGGAUGGACCCGCGUCUGAUUAGCUAGUUGGUAAGGUAACGGCUUACCAAGGCGACGAUCAGUAGCCGACCUGAGAGGGUGAUCGGCCACAUUGGAACUGAGACACGGUCCAAACUCCUACGGGAGGCAGCAGUGGGGAAUAUUGCACAAUGGGCGAAAGCCUGAUGCAGCAACGCCGCGUGAGCGAUGAAGGCCUUCGGGUCGUAAAGCUCUGUCCUCAAGGAAGAUAAUGACGGUACUUGAGGAGGAAGCCCCGGCUAACUACGUG